CUCCAAAUCUCCUAUCACUUUGGAGUGUCCAAGGUGCUUAUAGAAAAAGGAAGAGGUCAGCUGUCGAAGUUGUUCGCAGACUAGCAUCUCUAAGCUCCUGAUCUGUGCCAGUCUUCGCAUGAAUUUUUCCAUAGAGGCUAGAUAACUUCGUGUGGCUGUAAGUGACCUAAGAAAUAUCCUCUCCAAUCAUUGGAUCAGAGGAGAUCAAGAUCAAAAUUUAUUUGAUAACGAUCUCUAACUUAUUUUGAUUCCUAUGGUAGAUCUAAUAGUUGAUCUAGAAUUUUAACAUCGAUGAGAUCAAUGUGAUUUUUAUUUUUAGAUCUAAAGUAUAUAUUUUUUAUAUCAAAGAUUUUGAUAUGAUAAUUUAAGAUUAGAUCUUAUACAUGUGAUUAGGAUUAAAUU
RNAcentral lists this long non-coding RNA (402 nucleotides) under Elaeis guineensis (African oil palm). RNAcentral's name for it is "long non-coding RNA (EGUI_LNC056033)". Lineage: Eukaryota; Viridiplantae; Streptophyta; Magnoliopsida; Arecales; Arecaceae. The record is from RNAcentral.